RNAcentral lists this ribosomal RNA (253 nucleotides) under uncultured bacterium. RNAcentral describes it as "partial 16S ribosomal RNA". It matches the Rfam family "Bacterial small subunit ribosomal RNA", at positions 524 to 776 of the family's 1533-position model. The record is from RNAcentral.
UACAGAGGGGGCAAGCGUUGUUCGGAAUUACUGGGCGUAAAGGGCGCGUAGGCGGCCUUCUAAGUCAGACGUGAAAUCCCUCGGCUUAACCGGGGAACUGCGUCUGAUACUGGAUGGCUUGAGUGUGGGAGAGGGAUGCGGAAUUCCAGGUGUAGCGGUGAAAUGCGUAGAUAUCUGGAGGAACACCGGUGGCGAAGGCGGCAUCCUGGACCAUUACUGACGCUGAUGAGCGAAAGCGUGGGGAGCAAACAGG